AUGAGCCUGGGCUACCUGAGCAGGCUGUGCGCCAGGAUAGUGCAGGCCGCUGUGCGCGCGGAACAGCCGGCGUCCACGAUGUCUAAGCCAUCACCGGUGGCGCAAGUCCCUCACCGCCGCUCCCGGCUCUCCGGUGGGUUGGCUGAUCAAACUCCCGUGGCGGCGAAGACGGCAGCAGUGACGACGAGGAAAGCGGAGAAGGAUGAGAACGUGAUGCACCUGAUCUGCUGGGGACCCGAUUAG
Molecule: ribosomal RNA, 243 nt
Filed under: Triticum aestivum (bread wheat)
Lineage: Eukaryota; Viridiplantae; Streptophyta; Magnoliopsida; Poales; Poaceae
Description: partial small subunit ribosomal RNA
Source: RNAcentral